AUCUGGUUGAUCCUGCCAGUAGUCAUACGCUCGUCUCAAAGAUUAAGCCAUGCAUGUGUAAGUAUAAAUAAUUUUACUUUGAAACUGCGAAUGGCUCAUUAUAUCAGUUAUAGUUUAUUAGAAAUAUUUUACUACUUGGAUAACCGUAGUAAUUCUAGGGCUAAUACAUGAGUAAAACCUCAACUUCGGAAGAGGUGUGUUUAUUAGUAUGAAAACCAUAUAUCUUCGGAUAUAAUAGUGAGUAAUAAUAACCUUUCAUAUCGUAUGUCGUAAGAUAACGAUAGUUCUUUCAAGUUUCUGCCCUAUCAGCUUUCGAUGGUAGUAUAUGGGACUACCAUGGCAGUAACGGGUAACGAAGAAUUUGGGUUCGAUUUCGGAGAGGGAGCCUGAGAGAUGGCUACCACAUCCAAGGAAGGCAGCAGGCGCGUAAAUUACCCAAUCCUGACAUAGGGAGGUAGUGACAAUAAAUCACAAUGCGGAACUUUUAGUUUUGCAAUUGGAUUGAGAACAAUGUACAAAUGUUAUCGAUAAACAAUUGGAGGGCAAGUCUGGUGCCAGCAGCCGCGGUAAUUCCAGCUCCAAUAACGUAUAUUAACGUUGUUGCAGUUAAAAAGCUC
This 617-nucleotide ribosomal RNA is filed under the name Blastocystis sp. RNAcentral's name for it is "SSU rRNA". It matches the Rfam family "Eukaryotic small subunit ribosomal RNA", at positions 1 to 629 of the family's 1831-position model. Lineage: Eukaryota; Bigyra; Opalinata; Blastocystidae. The record is from RNAcentral.